UCGGUUUCUAGGAGAGGAGAGUCAGGCUCUGGGGCCAUGGAGUGCUUGAUUUAAAAACUGUUGCUGCUCCAUAGGCUGCGGUGCCACGGGUCGUGGAGUGUGAGCCGAUGUCUGCAGCGAUUUUUGCUUAGCCGACAGCCGUUUAUAUGUGCCCUGUGGAGGUUCUGCGUCUGCUGCGGGGGUCAUCGUCAGGCUUGGUUCUGACGUUCUUGUCGGCACUGGGGUGCAUCCUCAGUGCUGGCGGGACUGGUGCCGAGGAGAGCUGCCUGCUGUGGGAAGUCGGAUCCCUGCUUCUGCGCCCCGUUUGAGCCAUGGCUGAGUGACCAGGGAAGAGAUGAGCACUGCCCUGAGUUCCAUCUUCAGCCAAGGACAGUUGAGAAGGAACUGGGGAGGGGAGUGCGGGACACACGCGCACAGACAGACCCUAAUGACGCUGCAAGACAGCAGCUGGGUGUAUGCGUCCCGAUCAGGCACUGCUACCGAAGAGCUCCGAUCAACAGUGCCAGGACGCACCGUCACCUGGAGUGGAGCACUCACUGGGACAGCACUUGAAGAAGAACUUUACAUAUAAUAGCGCCACACAUAUUUUACUGGGACACUAAUGAGCUGGAUCCUGAAACCAUUCAGAAGAGGCAAGCUGUGAGGCAAAGAACACCCCCACACCAGGACUCAAACUGUCACUUUCCUGCUGAGGAGUCAGAUACCUUCUCCAUUGGGCCACAUGGUCAGAUACUUUGACAU
This is a non-coding RNA of Chrysemys picta bellii (western painted turtle), 741 nucleotides long. The record is from RefSeq and is a predicted model, not a curated record. NCBI's taxonomy places the organism in Eukaryota, Metazoa, Chordata, Testudines, Emydidae.